AGCUUUGCGCAGUGGCAGUAUCGUAGCCAAUGAGGUUUAUCCGAGGCGCGAUUAUUGCUAAUUGAAAACUUUUUCUGUUUUAGUUAACCAUCAGUUAGUGCCAGUACUCUCUUUUCAGAG
This 120-nucleotide small nuclear RNA is filed under the name Neogale vison (American mink). RNAcentral describes it as "Neovison vison (American mink) U4 spliceosomal RNA (ENSNVIG00000020147.1)". It matches the Rfam family "U4 spliceosomal RNA". Rfam says of the family: U4 small nuclear RNA (U4 snRNA) is a component of the major U2-dependent spliceosome. The structure of U4 snRNA from yeast and human has been reported. The record is from Rfam by way of RNAcentral. Lineage: Eukaryota; Metazoa; Chordata; Mammalia; Carnivora; Mustelidae.